CCCUCCUCCACCUCGCCUCGUUUCCCCUUGAUCUGGAGCUCACCUGUGAGGAGCCGGUGUGCGCCGUCGUCAAAUCCCGUGGCCACCGUCGUUCCCCCGCCCCCUAGAGUUGCUCGGGAGCUCCGCCUCCGUCGUCUACGUCCUCUACGUGAACCAUCUCGACCUCAACUCCGCCGCACCGUCGGGGUCGAGUUCUUCUCCGCCUUCGGCCACUGCCGCAUCAUCGCCGGAUUCGUCGCCGUCAGCUCCUCUCCGACCACCCCUGCACCUCCCCGAGCUUGCCCCCGUCAUCACUGUGAGCACCACCAUGUUUUCCCCAUCCCCCUUCUACCGCAUGUGCCCCGUAGCGAACAACCACCGUAGCCAUGCUCCGACCUCCGCUCGGCUUCGCUGCCGCCGCCGUCACCGGCCGUAGGUUAUCGUGCUUCUUGCACCUUCAGACGCGGCGCGUCGCGGUCGUCAUGUAGGACCAAACCCCCGAGCCAAAUGGCCACCGGAUUGCCGACGCCGCGCUCGCUGUCACCGUGUCUGAAACUCUGCUCCUGUCGCCCUUGGCCACUCCGCCCGCGUCGUACCCUGCGUCCGGCCGAGCUACCGCGCGUGGUCGCUGCGCCCGUAACCGUGCUUCCCCGCGCCACUGCACGUCCCAGGCCGCGCCCUCGGCCGCUCGCGUCUAACCGGCCCGCGCCCCUGCUCCUUCUAGCUGCCGCUGCUACUGCGUGCUACCUUGUCGCGGCUGCUACACUCCUCUGCCUGCCGCUGCGCUCCUUCCCCUGCUACGCUGCGUCGCCUGCUGCUUGCCGAUGCUGCUGCUGCCUCCCUUUACCGCCGCGCUCGGCCGCGCCUCAGGCCACUCUCUGGCCGCGGCGACGCGCGCGCCCGCGCCUCCCCAACGCGCUCCCCGCCACUGCAUAGCCCGCGCCACACCACUGUCAUUGCUCCGCCUGUACUACUCCUGCUAGCUACUGUCGCCGCAAGCUAGCUUUUCAAUUUCUACAAUAACUAACCCUCUAGACAGCCCCUAAACAGCGCCUAAACGACUGUUAACCGGAGCAAAAAUAUUAUGUGAAGGUAGUAUACUUGAUAAACUCUAUUUUAUCCCACUGGACCAAAUCCAUUUGAUGCAUGUAUUAAAUACUAAGAAAAUCACAAAAUGCUAUCUUUUGUUAACAGAAAACAGUUUUAACCUCUAGCACCGUGUCUUGCGUGCUGUGUGUGUGCCGUGCGUGUGGCCGGAUGGGCUGUGGCCGGCCCUUGUUAGUACUAGGUUUAGCUAGUAGUAUUAAUUAGUGCUAAGUUAGUCUAAUAGUAGAUGACAUGUAGGCCCCAAUUAAAUAAGUUAGGUUUAUUUAAUUUUUAGGUAAAUAGUCCAUGACGUGUGGGUCACACCUCUCCUUUUGACUAGUCAAAUUGACUUGGUCAAUUCGAGUUAAAGGUAAUUUAGAAAAUCUAGAAUAUUGAUAAAACUUUGAAAAAUCAUAUAAAAUAAUCCGUGACUCGGAUGGAAAUAUUUUGUACAUGAAAAUUGCUCAGAACGACGAGACGAAUCCAGAUACGCAACCCGUUCGUCCGCCACGCAUCCCUAGCAUAGUGAACCUGCAACAUUUCACCUCCGGUUCAUCUAACCGAAAACGUGAAACACCGGGGAUACUUUCCCGGAUGUUUCCCCCUUUCGCCGGUAUCACCUACUACCGCGCAAGGGCACACCGGACACCGCGUAUUGCCUUGUUACGCUUUGUGAUGCUUUCAUUGCUCUGUUAUUUAUUGUGUUCCCUCUCCGUUAAUUCUUUCCGAUAGACCCCGAGACUGUCGGCGACCCCCAGUUCGACUACGGUAUUGACGACCCCUCCUUCUUGCCAGAGCAACCAGGCAAGCCCCCCCUUGAUCACCAGAUAUC
Molecule: long non-coding RNA, 1897 nt
Filed under: Triticum aestivum (bread wheat)
Lineage: Eukaryota; Viridiplantae; Streptophyta; Magnoliopsida; Poales; Poaceae
Description: long non-coding RNA (TAES_LNC004620)
Source: RNAcentral